RNAcentral lists this long non-coding RNA (1295 nucleotides) under Marmota monax (woodchuck). The record is from RNAcentral. Lineage: Eukaryota; Metazoa; Chordata; Mammalia; Rodentia; Sciuridae.
CAAACCCAGUGGUGCUCAACUCUACCACCGCACUGCAUCAUUUGACCUGAUCCAGCUUCAAGUUGCUUCCAUCAUACUCCCAUAUCCUUAGUAUAUCUAUUCCACACGUUUGUUAUUUCUUUUUUUUUCUUUAAGGUGAGGGCGGGGAUGUCUUGCUAAUUUGCUCAGGAUGGUCUCAAACUUGUGAUCUUCCUGCCUUAGCCUUAGUUGCUUGGAUUACAGACGUAUGCCACCAGGCUGGGCUCCAUUGAAUCGCGUUUGCCUGCAAAAGUUGUUACCGCUGUUGACUGGUGCGGUUGUCUCCCCUUUUUAUAGUUUUGGUGAUGGAAUAUAAGGGGGAAGGGUUGGGACACAGGUGGGCCAAAUAAGUAAUCUGGGCAGGAAGGACUUCAUUAUCACUUCUUUGGGAUGGGCUAUCUCCAAAUCUGUUGGGGGCUGUUUCCUGGGUUCCAUUAACAUUUCUUUGGGGGUGGACUUUGGCCUAGGGCCUUUCUGGGACUUCAUUAACAUUCCAUGAGUUGUCCUGUGCUUCCCGGAAUCAUUAUCAGCAUGGCCUCCAUUUUAGAUUUCACUCAAUAUGAUGUUAGACCGGAUUUACCUAACUACACUGACUACCUAAUUUUAAAUCUGGCUUCAUUCCCCCCUCUAAUUUGGGGAACUCCUUACUGCUGUAAGGAAAGGGGGCGAAGAUCCUUCUGGCUUCUUCAGGCUGAAAAGGGACGGUGUGGGGCAAGCAGUUUGGAGUCCCCCUUUAAAAAUCGGCUCUAUCGAAUGGUCCAUGAUAGAAGUCCGAUUGAGAAGUAAUAGGCUGGAAGGCCAUUUGAGUGAUGGGUAGUCUAUAAGAGAAACAAGAAUUUAUUAGUACUGGAACCAGAUUGAUGCAACAAUAAAUGCCACAGCACAGGAAUAUGCCAAUGAGUAUGAUGACAAAGACAAAGACUAACAAUGUUUUCCACCAGGAAGUACCAGAGAACCAGGAGCUAAGAUAUUGUUUCCAUGACAAAGUUGCUGAGGACAUGGCUUCUAUCUGAGCAUGUAAAUCUUUAAGGAUAUUUGUCACAUUGUCAGAAUUGUCAGGGAUGUAAACACAACAUUUAACUUUUAGGGUUACAGUUGUCCUUCCCUUAAGAUACAGUUUAAUAAUUUAAUGUCAUCUGAUCUUGCAAAAUCCUUUUACUAGUAUGACCUCUGUGUCUAAUAGAGAAAUCUUUAAUUCUGUUACUUAGGGCUGGAUAACCAUAUUGGUAAACACUGAGCCUACCUGUGUAGGUUAGAAAUAGCUGUAGGCUUUAAAC